GCCUCGGGGGUGUAGCGGUAGCACGUGCUCCCGGUACGGGUGAAACGCGGGUACAACUCCUGUCUGAGUCG
Molecule: non-coding RNA, 71 nt
Organism: Parelaphostrongylus tenuis
Lineage: Eukaryota; Metazoa; Nematoda; Chromadorea; Rhabditida; Metastrongylidae
Source: the annotation of a GenBank genome assembly